GUUUCCUUAGUUUAAUGGUUAAAACCGUAUUCUUCUAAAGUACAAAUUUUGGUUCAACUCCAGAAGGGAACU
Molecule: transfer RNA, 72 nt
Filed under: Desarmillaria tabescens
Lineage: Eukaryota; Fungi; Basidiomycota; Agaricomycetes; Agaricales; Physalacriaceae
Description: tRNA-Arg
Rfam family: tRNA
About the family: Transfer RNA (tRNA) molecules are approximately 80 nucleotides in length. Their secondary structure includes four short double-helical elements and three loops (D, anti-codon, and T loops).
Source: RNAcentral